RNAcentral lists this long non-coding RNA (601 nucleotides) under Mus pahari (shrew mouse). RNAcentral's name for it is "lncRNA (MGP_PahariEiJ_G0002952.1)". The record is from RNAcentral. Lineage: Eukaryota; Metazoa; Chordata; Mammalia; Rodentia; Muridae.
GGCUGGCUUGGGCGAUCUGCAGGAAGCCGCACCGGUCCGCAGCUGCCCAGCCAGGUACCAGAGACUUGCAAAGGGAACCCAUGCUCGUCUGUAAUAAUUUACAGGACCCCGUUUGGGCUCCCUGGUUGAGAUAAAUACAUCGACCCACGCAGGUAGAAUUUUCUUCUCAAGAGUCUUUUUCUUCUCCUGACUCCAUGGGAGAAGUUUCCCAUUUCCAGCUCUGGAGAAAGCGCGGAAACCGAGGUGGCAGGGAGCUGUGGAAAGCGGAGGUUGCUUGGGAGAGGCCUGGGCUGUGGAGUCCCCGGGCGGCUCCCGCGACUUGUCUGUAAUGCUUCCGCGCUGUAGGCCCUGGAUGCUGGCGUGGCCGUGCAGGUUGUAGAGCUGCAGACCGGGAUGGACCGGCUGGUGCGAGGCUCGGGUACGAGUGGAGCCGGUGUUCUCGCACCGCGGCUUGCAACCGGCCUACACAGUUCCCGCUGCAGCGGCAGAAAUAAAGGGGACUGACGUCAAGAAAGCAUCCCAACGCUUUCCCGCUCUUCAGGAGCUGCCUCCACCCCGUCCUCGCCGCCGCAUCCUUGUUUUUGAAUAAAUUUACUGAGAA